Molecule: ribosomal RNA, 1525 nt
Filed under: Processa bermudensis
Lineage: Eukaryota; Metazoa; Arthropoda; Malacostraca; Decapoda; Processidae
Description: eukaryotic LSU rRNA
Rfam family: Eukaryotic large subunit ribosomal RNA
Source: RNAcentral
AGUAAGGGCGACUGAAAAGGGAGGAGCCCAGCGCAUAGCCUCGCGGACUCAGCGUCCGUCGAGGGGUGCUGCGUUGCGGUGGAUCCGUCCCGCCGAGCUCGCUUACCGCCUAAGUCAUUGCUUGAAAGCAGCCCCGUGGAGGGUGUUAGGCCCGUGUGGCGGCGCCUGUAAGAGGGUGAAGGCGAGUUUGGCGGAGGGGUCUCACCGACGAGUCGGGUUGCCUAGUAUCGCAGCCCUAAGCAGGUGGUAAACUCCAUCUAAGGCUAAAUACAACCACGAGUCCGAUAGCUGACAAGUACCGUGAGGGAAAGCUGAAAAGAACUUUGAAGAGAGAGUUCAAGAGGACGUGAAACCGUUGGAAGGUUAAACGGGUGGAGCCGCGAAGGUCGAGAGAGGGGAUUCCGGCCGCCGCGACCUGAGCCCACGGGCUUCCUUCAUCCCCUCUGCGGGAGCGACCGGGCUGGCGAAAGCCGGCCGGGCGUGGAGGCUCUGGGCACGGGGCGAGGCGGGCUCAUUUCUCCCUCUCUUUGUCGCCGCGACCCGUCGUGGCGGCCCCUAGCCCCCGGACGGACUGGUAGGCGGCGGCUCCGGCCGUCGUCGAGGACCGACCGGGUGUGCGUGCGGGCUGCCGUGCGACGGAGUUCGUGUUGGGGGGCCCGCGAGGGCUCCUCGCGGCGUACACGGGAACGGUAAUCCAUCCGACCCGUCUUGAAACACGGACCAAGGAGUCCAGCACGUGCGCGAGUCGAAGGGUGUGACUAAACCCGGAGGCGAAAUGAAAGUGAGCACUUUGUGGCAGGCCGAUCCCCGGCCUGGCCCCGUCUGCUGCGGCGGCGGACACUGCGGAAAGCUUCGGUUAGUACGCGGCGUCCGUUACGCCCGGGACGCGGGUCGGGCGGGCAGCCUCACGGCUGUUCGAAUGUAAUCCGGGGCGCAGGCCGAGGACUUGUCGCCAAUCGGCCCCGCGUCCUCGAGGCGCGGGAUCCCGAUGGCAAGUACCUGAGAGCGCACACGCUGGGACCCGAAAGAUGGUGAACUAUGCCUGGCGAGGACGAAGCCAGAGGAAACUCUGGUGGAAGUCCGAAGCAGUUCUGACGUGCAAAUCGAUUGUCAGAGCUGGGUAUAGGGGCGAAAGACCAAUCGAACCAUCUAGUAGCUGGUUCCCUCCGAAGUUUCCCUCAGGAUAGCUGGGACCCACUCAUUCAAUGAGUUUCAUCCGGUAAAGCAAAUGAUUAGAGGCCGGAUGGGGGUGCAAUGCCCUCAACCUAUUCUCAAACUUUAAAUGGGUGAGACGCCGAGCUUGCUUGAUAUCACACGAAGCUCUGGCAAAGAGAAUCAGGGUCCCAAGUGGGCCACUUUUGGUAAGCAGAACUGGCGCUGUGGGAUGAACCAAACGCACGAGUUAAGGGGCCAAAAGAACGCUAAUUCAGACANUACGAAAAGGUGUUGGUUGCUAUAGACAGCAGGGCGGUGGCCAUGGAAGUUGGAAUCCGCUAAGGAGUGUGUAACAACUCACCUGCCGAAG